Lactuca sativa (garden lettuce) is the source of this 2277-nucleotide non-coding RNA. Lineage: Eukaryota; Viridiplantae; Streptophyta; Magnoliopsida; Asterales; Asteraceae. The record is from RefSeq and is a predicted model, not a curated record.
AUUAUGUUGAUUUUUUAUAACUUUAUAUGUAUUUUUUUAUAUGUAUAAAAACGUAACAUGUAUUUGACGCGGGUCUUAGGUACUGUUUGUUUUGAAAAUGAUUAUAUGUCUUUUGUCUUUUUUCAAGUUUACGGAAGAAGACAUGCCCUUACAAAACGUCUACCAACAGAUGGGAAAAAUGCUCAAAAAAACUUUCGUAAAAAAAACAAACUAGGCCUGAUUAGUCUUGUGAUUUCUAUCGUACAGCACAAAUUAAAUCUGACGUUAAGUGUUUUCUCCCGUGACUCAACUAAUCUCAAAGAAUCCAAUUUCCCAACUUCUCCCGUGCUCCCAACUCACGUUCUCUAUGCUCCUCCGGUCCCUCAGCCGGCGCCGCUGUGCUGCUCCCUAAGCCGGCGUCGUCCUCUUCUCCGCUCCUCCAUGAUCCGCCUCGUUCUCCACCUCUAUUUAGAGCUCCGCCUCCCUACUAUCUUUCUCAAGGUACAUAUUUGUUCAUCUUUUGAAUAUAAACCUAACACACCUUUUAUAGUGAUCUAAUUUUGCUAGAAGCAUGAAACAUAUGAAUUUACUUUGUACUCUCUCUCUGAGUUUUUAUUGACUAUUUUUCCCCAAAUUUGAUGUGGGUUUCUCCAUUUUUAUUGUUAAUUUGUUAAUUUGUUGGGUUUUUUCCCUAGUAAAUAUCCGUUUCGGAUUAUAUAGAAUCUUGGGUUUAAUAGUUCAAAUUCAGUAAUCAGCGUAACAUGUCUUUGAGUUCUUCCAUGGCACCCUUGUGCUUUAGGAUCUGUAUUGGCUAUCUGCUAGCUGAAUUAUGAUGUUUUUCUUUAAUACUAGUAUUCAUUUGGGCAAACAGGCAUUCAAGGAUUUAUUACGACUUUCUAAUUAAUUGAAAUCAAGAUUCUUGGGUAUUUAACAUUGAGAAUUUUAAUAGCUUUUCAAUAAAGAAAUUUCAAUAUUCAUUUGGGUAAACACGCAUUCAUUUGGAUAAAUAAUUUUCAAAGCUUUCAUACCCGUAAAUUUAAACACUUUUUUUUUUUUUUUUUGUGAAGUUUUAAAAUAGUUCUUGGUGAGAUGCUCCACUUUAAGGUGUAGUAAUCAGUAAUCACCCCAUAACCAAGAUUUAUAAUACAAGUUCAAAUAGUUGAAGAUAAAACAUAUCUACAUUAAGUCGCGCAUUUUUUAUCCAAUGUUUCUUUAUUAUUAUUAUUUUUUUUGAUUUUUGGUUUGUGUUAUAGAUUGAAAUGUUUUUAGCCAUUAAUGCUAUUCUUGUUAGUUUUAGAUGUAAUUCCAUGAAUCUAUCUUGUUGUCUAGGCAUUUUAUUCAUUUAUAAUUAGGUGAGGCAUUUUAUCCAACACUUGAUAUGCAUGCUAUAUUAUAAUCUAUUGAUUGAAAAACACGAGCCACACAAACACAUACAAAAAAACAGUUCAAUCAAGGGAAGGUGGAGGAUAUAGAAACCGUAUGGACGAUUUUACCCCUGUUCUAAAAAUGGUUGGUCUUGAGUGAUUUUCAUAUUAUCAUUUGGCUGAAGUUCUGGUUUAAUCUAAAGUUGUUGGAAGGAAAAUUACCAGGUGCAAUUUUGGACGAUUUUACCCCUGAAUUACUUUGAAAGCUUAGUGGUGGCAGAUCGUUUUCUUGGUGGUGUCAGCCACCAUCAAUGCAUUGCUUUGAUAGUACAAUGCAUUUUGGUGUUGAUAUGUUCCAGAAGUUCAGCGCUCCAAUUGCACCUAAAAUAAUUUGGGCGGGCAUUUGCCUAUGCUUACACCUAGGGUUGGUGAUGAUUAUGUUCAGUGUGAGGGUGAGGAGCCGUUACACAACAGACAUGGGUGUAAGAUUGCUAUCUUCUGAUAGAGGUAAGUCUUUUCACUGUGCUUUGCGGGUUGAAGGCACCAAUGUUAGUCCAUGAUUUAUUAUGACUAAGAUGCUAGUUGUAUGUGUGAUAAGUGAAUGUAAACCGGACGGGGUCUGCUGCCAGACGGGGCCUGAUGAGGAUCUGUUCCGGGCGGGGUUCGAUGUCAGGCGGGGCAUGAUGCCAGGUGGGGUCGAUGCGGGGCGGGACCCAAAGCCGGACGGGGCCCAAUGGUGGUGGAGCAAGGCCCAAUGUACUUUCGGUACAAACGAGAAGGGCCCGAUGUGACUGCACUACAUCCAUGCAUGUUUCUGCAACUUUAUGAUUUUGUGAUUGUAUUCUGAUAACUAUUUUUACUUUGAUAUACUUUUGAAUGAUUGGAAAUGCUAAAUGGUGUUUAUAGUUGAAAUAAAAAUGAAAUUUUUACCUUA